UACGGAGGGUGCAAACGUUGCUUGGAAUCAUUGGGCGUAAAGCGCACGUAGGCGGUCCGUUAAGUUGGGAGUGAAAUCCCUCGGCUCAACCGAGGAAGUGCUUUCAAAACUGGCAGACUUGAAUACUGGAGAGGAUCGCGGAAUUCCCGGUGUAGAGGUGAAAUUCGUAGAUAUCGGGAGGAACACCAGUGGCGAAGGCGGCGAUCUGGACAGAUAUUGACGCUGAGGUGCGAAAGCGUGGGGAGCAAACAGG
This 253-nucleotide ribosomal RNA is filed under the name uncultured bacterium. RNAcentral describes it as "partial 16S ribosomal RNA". It matches the Rfam family "Bacterial small subunit ribosomal RNA", at positions 524 to 776 of the family's 1533-position model. The record is from RNAcentral.